This is a long non-coding RNA of Taeniopygia guttata (zebra finch), 2865 nucleotides long. The record is from Ensembl. NCBI's taxonomy places the organism in Eukaryota, Metazoa, Chordata, Aves, Passeriformes, Estrildidae.
GUGCUCCCAUCACACUCUUCCUUCUUGUCUGUGGGAUCUCCGUGGUCACUGCAAAGUCCACCCAAUGCCACUGGGUCAGUCCUUCUGGGCCCUCAUUUGGUCGAGCACCUGGGUGCCACCUCCUCUCUGUUCCCAGAAUGUCACUGGCUGAGGCUCGGAGACCCAACCCCCCACCACAUGGAUGCACUGGCCAGCAGCCCUGGCCUCUCUGGGAUCAGGCUCUGUCCCACAGCAAACAAGGAAAAGAACAGAUUCAAACAUAGUUGUGGGGCUAGUCUGUCCACUGCAUAUUUCCUGAGCAAGGUAAUUUAUUUGGAAGAGUUGGUCUUGGCAGAGGUGUUUGAGUGCAUUUCUAUGCUCCCAUCAGUCCUUUCUGCUGAUAACUCAGCUCCUCCUACCCUGGCCCCACAUCUCCCUGACAGGCUCACAAGGCACAUCCUUCUCCUGGCGUGGUUGCAAAAAUUGCUUUUUAUUUUUAAACCCUGGGACACAAAAGCCCUACCUUUAUCAUUUGCCUGCAGUCCCAGCAGCUCCACAUAUCCUCAUUAAAUAACCACUGAUCAUCAAGUGAAUCUGACAGGCCCCAGAAGCAAGGGAGAUCCAGAUGCCUGGUGUGCCCACAGCUGGUCCCAGCUCCCUGUGGCUGCAAAAUAUGGGGGGUCUCCUCCCUGUGGGGUGGGGCAAAGGGUUGUCAGGAGCCGAAAGGAAUGGUGAGCUUGUGCCUUUCCAUUGCAACGUGGGGGCAGGUGGCUGCAAGGGCUGAGUUUAUCCCAGCCCCACCAGAAUUUAUACAGACAAACAAUAAUAAUGGCUCUUUACAGGGGGUUAUUGAGACGGAAGAGUGGCAAACUGUAUUAUGGUCUGUGCAUUUCAUAUUCCUCUUCUGAGACACAAUUUAAAUAAUGCUUUUUCAUAAUUUAUUUUUAAUCUCUGUAGCACAGACCCUGAGGGAGGAUGUCGCCAGAGCAGGAGGACUACCAGCCAUUGGUCAGAUGAGUGUGAGGAGAUGUCCAGAUCCAGCAACAGCAAUGCCCUCUCAGGGGUUCCGUGGAUGUGUGUGGGCUCACUGGAGAGAGGUGGCACUUGCUGGUGUCCCCAUAGCCCAUCAGAGAAGCAGAUGCUUCAAGGCUGGGGAAAAGUACCAUGGAACUCACAGCCCUGCAGCACAGCUGAUGCCAGGGUCCUCACCUAGGUCUGCGCUUCCCAGAGCUCUGAAGCAGCAACAGGAGGACCAGGCAUCAUUCCUGUUUGUGGAUGUUCAUCUUUCUGGUGUGCAAGAGCAAUGGCUUUGAGGAGGAACAAGAAUGCCCCUAUUCAAACAGUGGCUGUGCAAGGAGAUGUGAAGUUUCUUCUGCCUUUUCUAGGAUAUUUUAGAAAUAUCUAAGAGAAUAUUGCAGCAUGGAGCAGCUCCCUGAUUUUGUCUCCAGAGAAAUCCCCAAAGGACACAUUCACUCUGCUGCUGAUGGCAACCCCAUAAACUCAUGGACUAGUUUUCCCUGCAACAUGCCACCCUGCCUGGGCUUUACUAGGCCAGGACUAGACCCAUAGCUAAGCAAACACAUGCAGCCAUUUGACAUGAGUUUUUCCUUCAGAAAACCUAAUUAACACAUUCACAUGCAGUUUCUUCUGUCACAUCAGAAGCCAGCAACCAUGAGGACUUUGCUGUCAAAAAGUUACAGUGUGCACUGGGCCCAGAAGUGUAUUUCCUAAAGGAAAAGCAAACUGAAAUGUGAAGUUUAAAAACUUCAAAUGACUAUGAAAGGAAACUGUGGAAUAAUUUCUGGAAAGGCAGAAUUGUCAAUGAUCAUGCAAUCCACCAGGAGCUGGAGCUGAAUCCAGAAUUGCUUGUUCCAGCUAUGCAGGAAUUCCUUAUCCUGGCAAGCACUGGUCUAUGGUAACAAAUGACCCCUCAACUCUGGGCUGAAUGGCACUCAGGCUAAAGUGUUAAUAGAUUUGAGGAACCCUUGUCACUUGUUAUUGUCCUCACAGUCCACUCAUCCUUCUGCAAACAACAAGUUGCAAACAACACAGUUAGACUGCUAUCCUUGGUAAAUAUACAUACAGAUGACUUCUCCAAAGCAGUUCAUCUUUUCCCAGUGAAAUACACAACCUCUUCUUACCCAUGAAAUUGUGAUUGAAGACACCUGGGAGCCAGAUUUGUGUGAGAUUGCAAAGGAGCAAAGUUGGCAUUUGGGCACACUUCUCUUGGUUUCUUUGCUCAGGCCUUUGGUGAGCACAGAAUACAUCCAGGUAGAAAACUUUUGACUGUACAGGAUCUUUUGGGUCCAUUGUCUACCAAACAUGUCAAUGGUGUUUCUGUUGUAAUACCAAGCAACAAACAGUAAACAUGGCAAAUGAGGAAGAGGAGCAGCACAAUGAGGAAAGGAUGUGGUGAGACACUGGCACAUUGAGUGAGCUGCACUCCCAUAACCUCUAGGCUACAGGUCCUGGUAUCACAUUCUCCUUUUGGUUUAUCUACAUUUUAUUUAGUUAGGUUUUUUUAAAUCAUCAAAAUAAAAUAUAUCCAAUUUAAAAGAUGCCAUCAAAAUGUAAAGAUACAAUCAAAACAUAUUUAUUCAAAACUAUGAGAACAUAUGUACAUCUGUAACUAUUCUAAAAAUGUUCUAUAAAAUUCUAUAGAAUUCUAAAAAUGCUAUAAAUCCUAUUCUUGAAACAUCCUUCACAUGGUCAGUAGCUUCUUUCUGAGCUUGGAUGAAAGAGAGCUCUUCUGCAUUGGAGCCAAGGACUUUGAGGGUAAGGGAACAUAGGAAGUGUCCAGAGAAAUAUUCUGGGUAAGAGGGUAGCCAGUCAGACCUGCAAUGUGGAGACACAAAGUGUAACAGAGGCUGCAAUGCAAACACAAAG